Molecule: long non-coding RNA, 717 nt
Organism: Sceloporus undulatus (fence lizard)
Lineage: Eukaryota; Metazoa; Chordata; Lepidosauria; Squamata; Phrynosomatidae
Exons: 3
Source: RefSeq, a predicted model, not a curated record
GGACAUUAGCUUAAAAGGUGCUGGAACAUAACCAGAGUGCACAGAGGCUAGGCACCUCAUUCUAACCUCAGCAGUGGUGUCAGGCAAUGACCAGGGGCCUGUGGGAAGGCAGCUGCUCGUUCACUGCAAGAGCCAAGCAGAGACAAACAAGAAAUGAAUGUGCUGCUGUCGAAGUCCACAUCCUCUUGCUUGAGAAUGCUUUUGAGGAUACUCACCUUUGCAUAAACAUCCAGGAAUGGCAUGAGAAUUUAAAUCCAGUGAGAGCAGACUGCAGACUUUUCUUUUAUGAGAAUCUCCACAACCCACCCAUGCAUUUUACAGUUGAAGGAGCAAGACAGCAUGUUCAGGAUCUUCUGAGAAUGAAGACAUGAGUAAGAUGUAUUACAUGCUGGUGAAUAAACUAACAACCAGCAAUGGACCACCAGAAAAUGGUUGGUGGUCCAUUGAUAGGCUGCAGUCUAGGACCUUAUCGGAUACUUUUUCCCCCUUGAUGCUUGAGGCCACGUGAGUCUGAGAAAAAAAACGCAGUUUACUGCACCUCAAAGUGUCCUCAAAAUGGCCCCUUCAGUCUUCUGACCGAAGCAAAGGACACUUGUCAGUCCUGAAUGGGAAUGGCUUGGCACUGGGUGACAGAAUGGGGCCAUUUUGAGGACACUUUGAAGUUUAUCACACUGGCCCUAAAACGGGCCCAGUGUGUUCUAAAAUGUGUGCGCGCGC